UUUUUUUUUUUUUUUUUUUUUUUUUUUUUUUGGUCUUUUUAGGGCCGCGUCUGAGUCAUAUGGAGGUUCCCAGGCGAGUGUUCGAAUCAGCUACAGCUGCUGGCCUACACCACAGCCACAGCAAUGCAGGAUCAGAGCCUCAUCUUCAACCUACACCGCAGCUCACAACAAUGCCAGAUCCCUGACCCACUAAGCGAGGCCAGGGAUUGAACCCCCAUCCUGAUGAAUACUAGUCAGGUUCAUUUCUGCUGUGCUACAUCGGGAACUCCCCAUCCUCAACUUCCUAAUUUAUAAAGUGGGAAGAAUAAUAGAACCCAAUUUAAGGGGCUGUAAUUUUAUUUUUUUUUGAUAGGCAAGAAAUAGAUUUAUUAACAUAGGACACUUGUGAGAGAUGCAAAUGGGCAGGCAAGGAGGCUCUGACCUAGGGCCAUAAUUUUAAAAAAAAAAUUAAAUGAGCUAAUAUAUGUACAAAUCCCUAGUACCUGGGACCUAGUAAGUAUUUAAUACAUGUUACCUAUUAUUAUAAAAAUAAUAUAUUAUUAUUAAAUGAGGAACUAAUCUAUUUUCAACCUAGAUGUCCUUGCUGUGACCUCUUUCCUCCCCUGUAUCUUCCCCCAUCGAAUCCCCCUUGGUACAAAAGCUGUUUGGAGACUAUUUCUGCCCGAGGAUAUGAAUUUGGAAAGAAAACAAAAAUAAGGCAAUCAGGCUACAAAAAUUCCUCUUUGCCAAGAUGGCUUUGAGCCAGGCCUGCUGGCAGUCAGAAUGCAUGAACCAAGGGGAGAUGAAGGGUACAGUUGCCUCCAGAAAAAUGCCACUACCAGGUUCAAUCUCUGGCCUGACGUCAGAGCUUGCCUCCUCCGUGACAAAGCAAGCUGGACUGGACAAGUAGCCUUUGCUGGCCCAGAAGCCCCUGCAGAGGUCAGGACCAAAUCUGCAAGUAUUACUCAGCCUGACACUCCCACCAGGAGAGUGAGGGCAGAGCCAGGACCACCAGGUAGGUCUCCUCUCACAGAGCCAGGCAGGCCGGGCCAGGAAGUAACAACACAUCCAUUCCCAGGCAGACCAGAGGGGUGCUUCCUUCAUGUACCCAUAGGCAAUGUAACUAUAGCAUGACAUCAGAACAGUCAGGACUGAGCCAAAGUCAAGGAUGAGAGAGAGGGUCCAGCCUUCCAGGAAGAGGGAAAACAAGUGAAGAGUUCCCGAGGGAGGAAGGUGAGUACAAGAGUGAAUAGAAGGUCACUGUAAGCUGGACAGCAGAGAGCCAGGGCCUGAGUGGCUCCAGAGAAGGGCGGGGCGGGGGGGGGGGGGGGGGGGGGGGGGGGGUGGCGGGGACUUGACCCCCAGAACCUCUGGCUCUGUUGAAGACUUUCGUUUUUAUCCUAAUGCAAAUGGAACAUUUUAAGUAGAAGAGAGACAAGCUCAGAUGUGCAAUGUUUAAACAAUUCACUCAACAAAUAUUUUUGGAGUUCCUGUUGUGGCUCAGUGGUUAAGGAACCCAACUAUCAUCCAUGAGGACAAAGGUUUGAUCCCUGACCUCACUCAGUGGGUUAAGGAUGUGGCGUUGCCAUGAGCUGUGGUGUAGGUUGCAGACACGGCUCAGAUCCUGAGUUGCUGUGGCUGUGGUGGAGGCCGGCGGCUACAGCUCCGAUUGGACCCCUAGCCUGGGAACUUCCAUAUGCCGUUGGUGCAGCCCUAAAAAUGACCAAGAAAAAAAAAAGGUGGAGGAGGCGCUUAAAUACAUAACGUAUAAGGUAUACUGUAUUAGGUAUAAUGUAGUCUAAUGUAGUGUAGAGACUGUAAGUGUUGACGCUAGUGUCUGAUGGCCCAAGCCCACAGUCUGGCUCUACCAUCGACGUAAGAGUUGUGAGACCUGAGCAAAUUGCUUCACCUCCCUUUUCUUUAGCAGUAUUUUUAUUCAAGCCAGAGCAUAAAAGAGAAAUAGGAUCUGGAUAUACAGAGAUGGGGGAAGGAGGGGCGGGGGUGGGGGCGUGGCUGGGAAGAACAUCAGUCAAGACAGGGAGACCUCGAAAAUGAGACGAGGCAGCUCCACUGGGCAGGAGACCAAGUGUGUUAGUAGAAACAUGAAGUUGUGAAGGGUAUUAACACGUUUUGGAUUUUUACCAGGUGCCAGAAGUCUGCACGCAUUAAUGCAUUUCAUCUUCACAACAACCCUACAAGAAGGAGGGAUUUCUUUUCUUUCACUUACUAGGCCUUUAGUGCUCGGAGAUGCUGAGCAGCUCGACCGAGCUUGUAGGUGGAAGAGAAUGGAUGGAGACCCCAAUCCUCUCCCACCAAAGUUCAAACGUGCUCCACUCUGACCGCGCCCACACCCACCGCCAGAGUGGGACGGCAUCUUCUCCCGAGCGAUUGCCCCCACGAGCCCCAAGCACAGAGGGGUGUGAUUGUGGACAUGCCGGAGCCUCAUCUACAUCUGCAAAGGUAGUUCUGGAAAACGUAUUCAAAAAUGCUUUGCGCGAAAAGAUAUUGUCAGACUGAGGACAAUGCCUUCCCAAGGGGGGCUCUUUGUGGAGUCCUUUGGAUAUGCAAGAUCUCUGGUGGGUUUUAUUUUUUUAUUUUUUACUUUUUCGUCUUCCCCCCCGCCCCCCGCCAGGGCCACACCCAUGGCAUAUGGAGGUGUCCGGGCUAGGGGUCAAAUCGGAGUUGUAGCCGUCGGCCUACGCCACAGCUACAGAAACACCAGAUCCGAGCCGCGUCUGCGACCUACACCACAGCUCACGGCAACACUUAACCCACUGAGCAAGGUCAGGGAUUGAACCCAAAACCUCAUGGUUCCCAGUUGGAUUCAUUAACCACUGCGCCACGACGGGAACUCCUCUGGUGGUUUUUAAAGCAUCCACCUACUUUCCAAUCACACCUCUUUGUUACCUUGGAGUAGUAACAAAUUAAGCCGGAAUCAGCUAUUCACACUGAAUGAUUUUAUAAAGCUUGCUUCGCUCCCACAGCUUCGCUACUUUAAAUGCAAGCCACUUGCCUAAGGAAGCAGAUAAGGUGGAAACUGCAUUAAAAGAAGGUGGCAUAAAUCAUACUUCAAGAUCCCAGACACGUUCCUUCCAGAAUUCCUUUUUCAUAGAUACUCCUAGUUCUCAGUCAAGUUUAAAAAAAAAAAAAA
This 3130-nucleotide long non-coding RNA is filed under the name Sus scrofa (pig). Its description in RNAcentral is "lncRNA (ENSSSCG00030065533.1)". Lineage: Eukaryota; Metazoa; Chordata; Mammalia; Artiodactyla; Suidae. The record is from RNAcentral.